This 484-nucleotide ribosomal RNA is filed under the name uncultured bacterium. Its description in RNAcentral is "partial 16S ribosomal RNA". It matches the Rfam family "Bacterial small subunit ribosomal RNA", at positions 30 to 507 of the family's 1533-position model. The record is from RNAcentral.
AUUGAACGCUGGCGGAAUGCUUUACAUAUGCAAGUCGAGCGGCAGCACGGGGGCAACCCUGGUGGCGAGCGGCGAACGGGUGAGUAAUACAUCGGAACAUGCCCAGUCGUGGGGGAUAACACUUCGAAAGAAGUGCUAAUACCGCAUACGUCCUGAGGGGGAAAGCGGGGGAUCGCAAGACCUCGCGCGAUUGGAGUGGCCGAUGUCAGAUUAGCUAGUUGGUGGGGUAAAGGCCUACCAAGGCAACGAUCUGUAGCUGGUCUGAGAGGAUGAUCAGCCACACUGGGACUGAGACACGGCCCAGACUCCUACGGGAGGCAGCAGUGGGGAAUUUUGGACAAUGGGGGCAACCCUGAUCCAGCCAUUCCGCGUGAGUGAAGAAGGCCUUCGGGUUGUAAAGCUCUUUCGGCAGGAACGAAACGGUGAGCUCUAACAUAGCUUGCUAAUGACGGUACCUGAAGAAGAAGCACCGGCUAACUACGUG